Molecule: ribosomal RNA, 198 nt
Filed under: uncultured bacterium
Lineage: Bacteria
Description: partial 16S ribosomal RNA
Rfam family: Bacterial small subunit ribosomal RNA
Source: RNAcentral
ACGCUCGACACCUACGGGCAGCAGUGGGGAAUAUUGCACAAUGGGGGAAACCCGUGAUGCAGCAACGCCGCGUGAAGGAAGAAGGUUUUCGGAUCGUAAACUUCUAUCAAUAGGGAAGAAAGAAAUGACGGUACCUAAAUAAGAAGCCCGGCUAACUACGUGCCAGCAGCCGCGGUAAUCUGAGCGGGCUGGCAAGGC